Molecule: ribosomal RNA, 434 nt
Filed under: uncultured Blautia sp.
Lineage: Bacteria; Bacillati; Bacillota; Clostridia; Lachnospirales; Lachnospiraceae
Description: partial 16S ribosomal RNA
Rfam family: Bacterial small subunit ribosomal RNA
Source: RNAcentral
ACGGAAGGCAGCAGUGGGGAAUAUUGCACAAUGGGGGAAACCCUGAUGCAGCGACGCCGCGUGAAGGAAGAAGUAUCUCGGUAUGUAAACUUCUAUCAGCGGGGAAGAUAAUGACGGUACCUGACUAAGAAGCCCCGGCUAACUACGUGCCAGCAGCCGCGGUAAUACGUAGGGGGCAAGCGUUAUCCGGAUUUACUGGGUGUAAAGGGAGCGUAGACGGAUCGGCAAGUCUGAUGUGAAAGGCUGGGGCUCAACCCCGGGACUGCAUUGGAAACUGUCGGUCUUGAGUGCCGGGGGGGUAAGCGGAAUUCCUAGUGUAGCGGUGAAAUGCGUAGAUAUUAGGAGGAACACCAGUGGCGAAGGCGGCUUACUGGACGGUAACUGACGUUGAGGCUCGAAAGCGUGGGGAGCAAACAGGAUUAGAUACCCUGGUA